This 498-nucleotide ribosomal RNA is filed under the name uncultured bacterium. RNAcentral's name for it is "partial 16S ribosomal RNA". It matches the Rfam family "Bacterial small subunit ribosomal RNA", at positions 28 to 508 of the family's 1533-position model. The record is from RNAcentral.
GAUGAACGCUGGCGGCGUGCCUAAUACAUGCAAGUCGAGCGAACAGAUGAGGAGCUUGCUCCUCUGACGUUAGCGGCGGACGGGUGAGUAACACGUGGAUAACCUACAUAUAAGACUGGGAUAACUUCGGGAAACCGGAGCUAAUACCGGAUAAUAUAUUGAACCGCAUGGUUCAAUAGUGAAAGACGGUUUUGCUGUCACUUAUAGAUGGAUCCGCGCCGCAUUAGCUAGUUGGUAAGGUAACGGCUUACCAAGGCAACGAUGCGUAGCCGACCUGAGAGGGUGGUCGGCCCCACUGGGACUGGGACACGGUCCCGACUCCUACGGGAGGCAGCCGUAGGGAAUCUUCCGCAAUGGGCGGAAGCCUUACGGAGCAACGCCGCGUGAGUGAUGGAGGUCUUCGGAUCGUAAAACUCUGUUAUUAGGGAAGAACAAAUGUGUAAGUAACUAUGCACGUCUUGACGGUCCCUAAUCAGAAAGCCACGGCUAACUACGUGC